CAUGUAGGCGGAUAUUUAAGUCAGGGGUGAAAUCCCUGAGCUUAACUUAGGAAUUGCAUUCGAUACUGGAAAGCUAGAGUAUGGGAGAGGAUGGUAGAAUUCCAGGUGUAGCGGUGAAAUGCGUAGAGAUCUGGAGGAAUACCGAUGGCGAAGGCAGCCAUCUGGCCUAAUACUGACGCUGAGGUACGAAAGCAUGGGGAGCAAACAGGAUUAGAUACCCGAGUA
RNAcentral lists this ribosomal RNA (225 nucleotides) under uncultured Acinetobacter sp. RNAcentral describes it as "partial 16S ribosomal RNA". It matches the Rfam family "Bacterial small subunit ribosomal RNA", at positions 568 to 792 of the family's 1533-position model. The record is from RNAcentral. Lineage: Bacteria; Pseudomonadati; Pseudomonadota; Gammaproteobacteria; Moraxellales; Moraxellaceae.